This is a small nuclear RNA of Esox lucius (northern pike), 56 nucleotides long. Its record names the gene U7. It matches the Rfam family "U7 small nuclear RNA". Rfam says of the family: Animal histone pre-mRNAs are spliced by a different mechanism than nuclear pre-mRNAs and self-splicing introns. This processing involves the U7 snRNP, which contains only one RNA species: U7. The record is from Ensembl. Lineage: Eukaryota; Metazoa; Chordata; Actinopteri; Esociformes; Esocidae.
GAAAAUUUGCUCUUUUAGUAUUUGUCUAGAAGGCUUCUUCAGUUGAAGAAGCCCCC